UAUGUGCGGGGUGCUACGAGCGUCGCGUUUGUUUGAUCGUGUGUUUUUGUGUUUGCUGCUAUGAAGUAGGUCGCAGUUAGCGUGCACAGAAGUGCCUGAAGAUACCUUGUGUCACGCUGCAAACUCGCCGUAUGCGUGGCGCGCCAGGCAAAUGUGGCCCAACGAUUUUAUGCCGUGGAGUGCGGUCUCUUUGUUCUCGUUCUGGAAAGUUGGGUGGACGUCGCAAAGAAUGUGUGUUAGCGCGCCUCAGCUCGUCCACUACGCAGCGGCAUGUAUGCGGGGAGUAACAUCGUCGACGCAGCACCGGCAACUUGGAGAGUGCUUCGCGACCGCGUCGUACCAUUCAAAAGUGGCGAGGCUGUGACCCAUAACAGUGCCUACAUAACGGAGGAGCCACCAGACCCCUUGGCUAUGCCUGCCGUAGUGCAACGUAUAAUCUGGAUGGUCGGGUCAGGUACACCUAGGAAAUGUUGUAUACAUUGGCAACGAUAACUGGGGCCUGUUCCAGUGCCAUCGCCGGGAUUCCCUGUUCUGCAAAGAACUGACAUAACUGAUGUGGGGAGCCCUGGCGCUCGGUGUAGGAGUAUCACAGGGGCUCCUUGUCGAUGCUUGGACGGCAAUGCUGUUGAGAAGCCGACAUUGAGCCCCGAUAAAUUGGAAGCUGUGGGUAGUAAGUAUCAUUCACAUUUUUUCAAGUUUUUGUAAUGUUUGUAACAAUGCAUGUAUUGCACCGAAAUGAUUAACUUUUCAGAUGCAUUUGAUGCAUAUCUUUCGAAAUGUGGUACCCCUCAGGAGAAAAAAAUCAUCUUCUCAUGCUUGGUUUUGGCCGAGCGGUUGAAUCGAGUGACAAAGUUUUUCGCGUUUAGGUAGCCUAAGAAGAAACAAAAGCAGAAUUAACAAACCAGCUUAUUUGUGGCUACUCAUGAGUUGCAUUUCUUUGUUUAAAAGUGCCUGUGAAGUGGCGCUAACCUAGUUAUCAGGUCCAGAAUUUUCGAUUAACACCGCUUCCAAAAGCUCGCGUUCUAAUUUGGUUUUUUCAAGGCCAGAACUUCCGUAUUCGUCAUCCGCGGAUAGCAACGGCAACUUUUGCAGUGUAGAGCAAUAUUCAACCCUUCUCCCGAUAUGCAACACCUGUAGCGUAGUUGUAGCUGGUCGUUCAGGCACUGAAUUGCU
This is a long non-coding RNA of Dermacentor silvarum, 1173 nucleotides long. RefSeq lists it as uncharacterized. The transcript has 3 exons. NCBI's taxonomy places the organism in Eukaryota, Metazoa, Arthropoda, Arachnida, Ixodida, Ixodidae. The record is from RefSeq and is a predicted model, not a curated record.